UCCUCUAUAUCUCUGACUUUG
Molecule: non-coding RNA, 21 nt
Organism: Caenorhabditis elegans
Lineage: Eukaryota; Metazoa; Nematoda; Chromadorea; Rhabditida; Rhabditidae
Source: Ensembl